AAUACAGUUUUAUAAAAAUAUAUACUUUAAUUUUUUUCAAAUCUCUAAGUAGAGCAAAAUAUCGCACGGUGCACGUGAUAUAUUUUUUAGUCUUUUUUUUUUUUUUCCUACACACGCAGGAGGGCAGCAGCAAGCAGCAUCUUUCCAAGCAGGCUCCACAGGGCGGAGGGGGGAAAAAAAAAAAGUGAGAGAAUCUAAACGUGACGUCAAUGCCUAGUAACUGACGCAGCCCUUCAGCCCCCCUCAUCCUCCCCCCCCCCCUCUCAAAAAAAGAAAAACUCCUUUUUAUUUAUUUCCUUUUUUUUGCAGAGGGGUUGCUUCUAGUCUCGUCAGCAAGUCGAGCAUUAUUUGCUCGACUAGAAAGGAGAGGUUUUGUUUUUGUAGAAAAAAGAAAGGACUGUUCCACUUGUGGAGUCGCGUCGUGCCAGGAGGUGGACACGGACGCAGUCAGGUGAGGAGGAAGUACAAACCUGAAGACCACGACCAGGAGGCCGAUCUCGUCGUGCACAGGUGCAUUGUGUCCUUUGCCAUAUGUUGCAGAAAGAUCUUGAGUAUUGGGAGCAUCAUCCCCUCCCCACACACACACACACAAACACUCAGAUGACAUACAGACGUCCACCUGACACCCAGAGUAGGACGAACCACGUGUCAAGGAGGAUACUUAAAAAUAAUGUAAACCAAAUUGUAUUUGUAUUUUUUGUGUGUGUAAGAGUGUGAGUGUGUUAUAUUCUUUCCAUUUUCAUAUGUACUGUACAUUGUGUGUAAAAGUUGCAAUGUUAUAAAGAUGACGUCACGAGUAAUAUACAUUAUAAUGUGGCAUAAGUUUAUCCACUGUAUGUGUGUGUGUUGAGCUUUGGUCUCGUGCACGCGCAUCGGCUGGCACUUGUGAUGCGUUUUGCGAGCUGACGCGCACGCACGCCGGCCGUGCGAGAACAUUUUUGUAGUCUUGCAUGCUUGCAGACUACGUGACAGGUUUCACGUGACGUCGUCACAGCUCAUUUCGUGCCCAUUUUACGUUUGGUUUUUGCGCGUGCGUGCUUGCGUGUGCGUGCCAGAAGUAAUGGUAUGGCGACUGCACUUGUGUGUCUGCGUGAGUAAUGGGUGAGAAAUUGUGCAGACGAUGUGGACACGUGCAUGAACACCACGUGUAUAUAUAUAUAUAUAGGGUUUUAAAAUAACAUGUAAAAUAAAAUAUAUUGACAAACGGAC
Molecule: long non-coding RNA, 1209 nt
Organism: Syngnathus acus (greater pipefish)
Lineage: Eukaryota; Metazoa; Chordata; Actinopteri; Syngnathiformes; Syngnathidae
Exons: 6
Source: RefSeq, a predicted model, not a curated record